ACGGGUGAGUAACACGUGGGUAACCUGCCCUCGAGUGGGGAAUAACCCAGGGAAACUUGGGCUAAUACCGCAUAAAACCUUCGAGUCCUCGGACCCGGAGAUCAAAGCUUGCCUCUGCAUGCGAGCUGGCGCUUGAGGAGGGGCCCGCGCCCGAUUAGCUAGUUGGUGGGGUAACGGCCCACCAAGGCAACGAUCGGUAGCCGACCUGAGAGGGUGACCGGCCACACUGGAACUGAGACACGGUCCAG
This 248-nucleotide ribosomal RNA is filed under the name uncultured bacterium. RNAcentral describes it as "partial 16S ribosomal RNA". It matches the Rfam family "Bacterial small subunit ribosomal RNA", at positions 102 to 334 of the family's 1533-position model. The record is from RNAcentral.